CACCUGGGGAGUACGGUCGCAAGAUUGAAACUCAAAGGAAUUGACGGGGGCCCGCACAAGCGGUGGAGCAUGUGGUUUAAUUCGAUGAUACGCGAGGAACCUUACCAGGGCUUAAAUGUGGAUUGACAGGGGCAGAGACGCCUUUUUCUUCGGACAAUUCACAAGGUGCUGCAUGGUUGUCGUCAGCUCGUGCCGUGAGGUGUCAGGUUAAGUCCUAUAACGAGCGCAACCCCUGUUGUUAGUUACCAGCACGUAGAGGUGGGGACUCUAACAAGACUGCCGGUGCAAACCGUGAGGAAGGUGGGGAUGACGUCAAAUCAUCACGGCCCUUACGUCCUGGGCUACACACGUGCUACAAUGGUAGGUACAGAGAGCAGCCACUACGUAAGUAGGAGCGAAUCUAUAAAACCUAUCUCAGUUCGGAUCGGAGUCUGCAACUCGACUCCGUGAAGCUGGAGUCGCUAGUAAUCGGAUAUCAGCCAUGAUCCGGUGAAUACGUUCCCGGGCCUUGUACACACCGCCCGUCAAGCCAUGGAAGCUGGGGGUACCUGAAGUCGGUGACCGUAAGGAGCUGCCUAGGGUAAAACUAGUAACUGGGGCUAAGUCGUAACAAGGUAACCGUA
Molecule: ribosomal RNA, 623 nt
Filed under: uncultured Kordia sp.
Lineage: Bacteria; Pseudomonadati; Bacteroidota; Flavobacteriia; Flavobacteriales; Flavobacteriaceae
Description: bacterial SSU rRNA
Rfam family: Bacterial small subunit ribosomal RNA
Source: RNAcentral